AACCCAUGCAUCGGGCAUUUUUGAAUUAAGUCUUUAAAUCGUUCCCAAACUUCAUAUAGUGUUUCAUCCUUCAAUUUCCAAAAAGAUGUGAUGUCAUUUCUAAGCUU
Gossypium arboreum is the source of this 107-nucleotide small nucleolar RNA. It matches the Rfam family "Plant small nucleolar RNA R71". From Rfam's summary of the family: R71 is a member of the C/D box family of snoRNAs containing the C (UGAUGA) and D (CUGA) box motifs. The record is from Rfam. Lineage: Eukaryota; Viridiplantae; Streptophyta; Magnoliopsida; Malvales; Malvaceae.